RNAcentral lists this ribosomal RNA (407 nucleotides) under uncultured prokaryote. RNAcentral's name for it is "bacterial SSU rRNA". It matches the Rfam family "Bacterial small subunit ribosomal RNA", at positions 355 to 774 of the family's 1533-position model. The record is from RNAcentral.
UGGGGAAUAUUGCACAAUGGGCGCAAGCCUGAUGCAGCAACGCCGCGUGAGGGAUGACGGCCUUCGGGUUGUAAACCUCUUUUAGUAGGGAAGAAGCGUAAGUGACGGUACCUGCAGAAAAAGCACCGGCUAACUACGUGCCAGCAGCCGCGGUAAUACGUAGGGUGCAAGCGUUGUCCGGAAUUAUUGGGCGUGAAGAGCUCGUAGGCGGGUUGUCGCGUCUGCCGGGAAAGCCCGGAGCUCAAGUCCGGGGCUGCGGUGGGUACGGGCAGGCUAGAGUGCGGUAGUGGAGAUUGGAAUUCCUGGUGUAGCGGUGGAAUGCGCAGAUAUCAGGAGGAACACCGAUGGCGAAGGCAGAUCUCUGGGCCGCUACUGACGCUGAGGAGCGAAAGCAUGGGGAGCGAACA